CCUACGGGUGGCAGCAGUGGGGAAUAUUGCACAAUGGGGGAAACCCUGAUGCAGCGACGCCGCGUGAGUGAAGCAGUUAUUCGUUAUGUAAAGCCCUAUCAGCCGGGAAGCAAAUGACGGUACCUGAGUAAGAAGACCAGGCUAACUACGUGCCAGCAGCCGCGGUAAUACGUCGGGGGAAAGCGUUAUCAGGAUUUACUGGGAGUAAAGGGAGCGUAGACGGCAGUGCAUGUCCGGAGUGAAUGGCGGGGGCUGAACCCCCGGACGGCUCUGGAAACUGUACGACUGGAGUGCAGGAGAGGUAAGUGGAAGUCCUAGUGUAGCGGUGAAAGGCGUAGAUAGUAGGAGGAACACCAGGGGCGAAGGCGGCUUACUGGACAUUAACUGACGUUGAGGCGCGAAAGCGUGGGGAGCAAACAGGAUUAGAUACCCGAGUAGUC
RNAcentral lists this ribosomal RNA (440 nucleotides) under uncultured bacterium. RNAcentral describes it as "partial 16S ribosomal RNA". It matches the Rfam family "Bacterial small subunit ribosomal RNA", at positions 338 to 795 of the family's 1533-position model. The record is from RNAcentral.